This 220-nucleotide small nucleolar RNA is filed under the name Aphanomyces astaci. RNAcentral's name for it is "Small nucleolar RNA U3". It matches the Rfam family "Small nucleolar RNA U3". From Rfam's summary of the family: Small nucleolar RNAs (snoRNAs) are involved in the processing and modification of rRNA in the nucleolus. There are two main classes of snoRNAs: the box C/D class, and the box H/ACA class. The record is from Rfam by way of RNAcentral. Lineage: Eukaryota; Oomycota; Saprolegniomycetes; Saprolegniales; Verrucalvaceae.
AAGACCGUACUUGAACAGGAUCAUUUCUAUAGUGCAGUCAUCUUUACUUUGUUUUCCAAAGUAGACGAUACCAAUAACUUUGAGGAUCGAGAGUGACCCCCUUCGUUGACUCGGGAUGUCGGCGCACGUGCUGUGGACGCAAGUCCGGGUCGUGGCUGUUGAUGAACGUCCACUGUUGCAUUCCAAGACAGUGUGAGCGGAGGCGGGUGUUAUGAGAAGU